Long non-coding RNA from Passer domesticus (house sparrow), 1696 nucleotides. RefSeq lists it as uncharacterized. The transcript has 5 exons. The record is from RefSeq and is a predicted model, not a curated record. Lineage: Eukaryota; Metazoa; Chordata; Aves; Passeriformes; Passeridae.
GAAAAACAGCCAGGACAGCUGACCUGAACUUACCAAACACAGAAUGCCAUUUUCAGUAUUAUAAACCGGAGGGAGUUGUCUGUAAGGAAGUGAUUGCUGCUAAGGGAAAGGCUGGGCGUCAGUCACAUCACACAGUGAAAAUCCAUCUUGUAGUUUUACUCUGGAUCUGAAGAGGGAGGCAUGUGUGUUUGGGACAGCCAGCCAAACCAAACUUUCCUGGCUUUCUAUGCAGGUUCAUGCAUUCUCAGCUGUGAAGAGGUGUCCAAUGUUGCAAGUGAAAUUUUUGUGUAGUUCAUCUCACCCCAAAGGGGGCUCCCAUAUUGUCCUGGUGAAAGAAACCCUAGGCUGCAUUUGUGGGAUUAUGACCACCUCUCCCUUGACUACAGAGGGAAGAUAGACAGCUCAGUGUGGACACGUACAUGGAAAUCUCUAAACAGUAAUGCAAGAAAACGUCACAUGGAGGGGUUCAGACUUUGGUAAGAAAUCCCACAGCCUGCUUGGAACUGUAAUGCUUGCUGAAGAAGAAAGGCUUCUCCAAGGCUUAAUUAAGAUUCUUUUGCAAACAAAGCUGCUGUCUGUCAAACUGCUGUCUCAUUCAUUGAACAGUCUGGAAGAUGUGUAGUUGACAAAGCAGGGAAUAGCAGGAAGACAAAGGAUGACCUAGCAGUAAUGACAACUCCAUGAUGGCCUGGAGGAUCUCUGCAUUGCAGUGAAAAUGGUUAACACUUGGCAAGGCUUUAGGAAAUUGAAGAAAGGGAAAUGCCAGAGUGCUUAAAUAACAAUUGUGUUAACAACCCCAUCAUUAGAGCAGUCAGAUUUUUUCUGUUCCUGUUUUUCUGGAACCAUAUGUUCCUCUACAUAAAUAGAGUAAAGCUUCACUCAUUAGAAACCUUCUACCAUUUUCCAUUUGCUGUGAGCUAGAUUUGCUUGUGAUUACCUAAAUAAAUUACUAAAUCAAAUUUCCUGUAUUUUUGAUUUUCUUAUCUGAACUAUCUCAGACUCCUUGAGCUUCAUAACCAGUCUUCAGGGUCAGAAAGUUUUCUUACAUACUUUUGAAACAGUAGUACUUUAAGACUGUUCUUCUCUAAUGAUCUUGGGGUUUCUAAGUUCUUAUCCGCAGGAGCUCACACAUUUUAAAAAUUGUUUACUUUCAAUAGUUUUAAGUGGAUAUCUGACAAAAUUCACAUUCUUUAACUCCCAUACCAGCUAGAAUGAAAUACUAAAAUAAACCAGGCAUUUUUAGAGUAAAGAGCAUGCCAUGGUUUUCAUGCUGUGAUUCAAGGGAAGAGUUAACAGUUCCUGGGUAUUACCAAAGCAGGAUAAAUACUUACAGUUGUCCUUAGAGCUGACUUUUGGAUAAUUUCUGUAAGAUGGUGAGAGAAAGCUGCUGACUUUACUUUUCUUGAAGAAUUUCAGACUGGAGAACUUGGAAGGGUUAUGCCAGUAUCCCUGUUUGAGGAUAUCUCUCCUGAUGUCCAAUGCCUGAUGCAGUGACCUCAAGGAGAAAUGUGAAAUGUUUCUUCCUUUUUUUUUAAUUAAUUCUUCUUGAAUAAAAAAACUCCUGUUGAACAAAUCUCCUCAAUAAGAUGAAUCCUUUUCUUCUGUACAAAUGGAAGCACUGCAAAACUGCUAACAAGGUGUUUUAAUGGUAGACUUAAGCAGGCUCUUUUGUGUGGGCUGUUUCUACAUUUUUUUA